GUACACUCCUACGGGAGGCAGCAGUGGGGAAUUUUGGACAAUGGGCGAAAGCCUGAUCCAGCAAUGCCGCGUGAGUGAAGAAGGCCUUCGGGUUGUAAAGCUCUUUUGUCAGGGAAGAAACGGUGAAAGCUAAUAUCUUUUGCUAAUGACGGUACCUGAAGAAUAAGCACCGGCUAACUACGUGCCAGCAGCCGCGGUAAUACGUAGGGUGCAAGCGUUAAUCGGAAUUACUGGGCGUAAAGCGUGCGCAGGCGGUUUUGUAAGUCUGAUGUGAAAUCCCCGGGCUCAACCUGGGAAUUGCAUUGGAGACUGCAAGGCUAGAAUCUGGCAGAGGGGGGUAGAAUUCCACGUGUAGCAGUGAAAUGCGUAGAUAUGUGGAGGAACACCGAUGGCGAAGGCAGCCCCCUGGGUCAAGAUUGACGCUCAUGCACGAAAGCGUGGGGAGCAAACAGGAUUAGAUACCCGAGUAGUCCCAUGA
Molecule: ribosomal RNA, 478 nt
Filed under: uncultured organism
Description: partial 16S ribosomal RNA
Rfam family: Bacterial small subunit ribosomal RNA
Source: RNAcentral